AAUCGCUGAAACCGUACUCGUCUAUCUAUACAUGGAGAAGUGCACGAUGCGCGUCCAGGCAAUAUUGUUCCUUCUCGUAUGCUUUGCUAUCUAUUCACAAUGUCGAGGAAUAGGCGUGCAACCUGACUCCCAACACGGAUGCUAUGGUUCUGCAACGUGCUAUAGCUGCCGCCCCUAUGAUAUGUGCUACCCGACAAUGGAAAUUUGCAAAGCCCACUGCCCACCUCCAGACGCAGCUACCUCCUCCGCAUUUCCUCAUUAGCUUGAAGAAUGUACUGGAUGUGUGUUUUCUCAUGAUGAAAGAAGAGCUAUGAAUAAAUAAGAGACAAUGAUAUGUUUUUA
Molecule: long non-coding RNA, 342 nt
Organism: Triticum dicoccoides
Lineage: Eukaryota; Viridiplantae; Streptophyta; Magnoliopsida; Poales; Poaceae
Exons: 2
Source: RefSeq, a predicted model, not a curated record